GAUGAACGCUGACAGAAUGCUUAACACAUGCAAGUCGAUGGGGAAGUGGUGCUUGCACCCUGGUAACCAUGGCGGACGGGUGAGUAACGCGUAAGGAACUUACCUGCGGGACCGGGAUAACAGCAGGAAACUGCUGACAAGACCGGAUAAGGUCAUUAAGCUGCAUAGCUUAGUGAUGAAAGGAGACGCCUGCGGAGAGCCUUGCGUCCUAUUAGCUAGUUGGAGGGGUAACGGCCCACCAAGGCGAAGAUAGGUAGCCGGCCUGAGAGGGUGGACGGCCACAAGGGGACUGAGAUACGGCCCUUACUCCUACGGGAGGCAGCAGUGGGGAAUAUUGGACAAUGGGGGCAACCCUGAUCCAGCAAUUCUGUGUGCACGAAGACGGUUUUCGGAGUGUAAAGUGCUUUCAGCAGGGAAGAAGGAAGUGACGGUACCUGCAGAAGAAGCGACGGCUAAAUACGUG
RNAcentral lists this ribosomal RNA (463 nucleotides) under uncultured bacterium. Its description in RNAcentral is "partial 16S ribosomal RNA". It matches the Rfam family "Bacterial small subunit ribosomal RNA", at positions 28 to 507 of the family's 1533-position model. The record is from RNAcentral.